This 383-nucleotide ribosomal RNA is filed under the name uncultured fungus. RNAcentral's name for it is "eukaryotic LSU rRNA". The stretch from base 1 to 127 matches the Rfam family "5.8S ribosomal RNA", at positions 29 to 154 of the family's 154-position model. Lineage: Eukaryota; Fungi. The record is from RNAcentral.
UGCAUCGAUGAAGAACGCAGCCAGUUGCGCUAAGUAGUGUGAAUUGCAGAAUUCAGUGAAUCAUCGAAUCUUUGAAUGCAAAUUCUGGAUCUCUGGAUAUCCAGGAAGCAUGCCUGUCUGAGCGUCGUAUACAAAUCUACACACCUUGGUGUGGGUAGGGAAUUCAGGUGACUUUACCAGUCGCCUGUCUUUCCAUGUGUCUGAACCCAGUCGUGCUGCUCUUUUGCACUGCUUGGAAGGCUCAACUUGCUUCUGUCCUUCUACAGUAGAGUUUGACAGCACUUCUGCUUGUUCUUUUUCGGUUCUAACCGAAAACUUCUUAUCUCUGACCUCAGAUCAGACAAGACUACCCGCUGAAUUUAAGCAUAUCAAUAAGCGGAGGA